Molecule: long non-coding RNA, 256 nt
Organism: Pan troglodytes (chimpanzee)
Lineage: Eukaryota; Metazoa; Chordata; Mammalia; Primates; Hominidae
Exons: 2
Source: RefSeq, a predicted model, not a curated record
CAGAGCUAAUGAGAGAGAUGGCCAGCAAAGAUCAUCAUGGCCCUGACCUAUGGUGGUGGAGGUGGGAGUGGCGACAUUUUCUCCCCGGGAGAGGUGCACGGAUCUAAUUAAGUCCAAAACAGCAUCACAUGAGAACAAGCCAGGAUUUAUUAAUGAUCAGGACACCAUGCGAAAUUCAUCUCCUUGACCUUAAAUAUUGAGAUGACUGGAAAGAAAUCCAAUUUAUUUGCUAAAUCAAGAGAUUGAUUGUCUUACA